RNAcentral lists this ribosomal RNA (457 nucleotides) under uncultured bacterium. RNAcentral describes it as "SSU rRNA". It matches the Rfam family "Bacterial small subunit ribosomal RNA", at positions 26 to 518 of the family's 1533-position model. The record is from RNAcentral.
AGAAUCAACGCUGGCGGCGUGCCUAACACAUGCAAGUCGCACGAGAAAGGGGAGCAAUCCCUGAGUACAGUGGCGCACGGGUGAGUAACACGUGAAUCAUCUACCUCCGAGUGGGGAAUAACUGAGAGAAAUCUUAGCUAAUACCGCAUAACACUUACGAGUCAAAGCAGCAAUGCGCUUGGAGAGGAGUUCGCGGCAGAUUAGUUAGUUGGCGGGGUAAUGGCCCACCAAGACGAUGAUCUGUAUCCGGCCUGAGAGGGCGCACGGACACACUGGAACUGAAACACGGUCCAGACUCCUACGGGAGGCAGCAGUGGGGAAUUUUGCGCAAUGGGGGAAACCCUGACGCAGCAACGCCGCGUGGAGGAUGAAGCCCCUUGGGUGUAAACUCCUUCGAUCGGGAAGAUAAUGACGGUACCGAUAUAAGAAGCCCGGCUAACUUCGCGCCAGCAGCCGC